AUGCCCCUUGGGCCUUCAAUAGAGAUAAGUUGUUUUCAUAACAACCUUAAUCUUGAGGAUGCACUUAAGAGGGGAAAACAUGAAGAUAUUGAUGGAGUAGAAUUGUGUAAUGAGUUAAUUUUUCUCCAGGAAUUACUGGAGAAAUCUAUGGGUCAUCUAGAUAUUCUGAAGUAUUUGGAGAAACGCCCCUUUUAUAUGUAUGCUAAUAUUGCAUAUAGAAUUUUUUUAACCAUUUCGGUUACUAUUGCAUCUGCAAAAAGGAGUUUUCCUAAACUCAAGUUAUUGAAAUCCUACUUGCGUUCUACUAUGACACAAUAAAUACUUAGUGUAUUUGUGACAAUAGCACUUGAGAAUGGUGUCCUGGAGAAGAUUAAUUAUAAAGAUAUGAUUGAUGAUUUCAUUUCAAGAAAUACCAGACGGAUGAUGCUUUUCAGUGGGACAUGA
RNAcentral lists this ribosomal RNA (444 nucleotides) under Triticum aestivum (bread wheat). Its description in RNAcentral is "partial small subunit ribosomal RNA". Lineage: Eukaryota; Viridiplantae; Streptophyta; Magnoliopsida; Poales; Poaceae. The record is from RNAcentral.